Molecule: ribosomal RNA, 441 nt
Filed under: uncultured bacterium
Lineage: Bacteria
Description: bacterial SSU rRNA
Rfam family: Bacterial small subunit ribosomal RNA
Source: RNAcentral
AACGAACGCUGGCGGCAUGCCUAACACAUGCAAGUCGAACGAGACCUUCGGGUCUAGUGGCGCACGGGUGCGUAACGCGUGGGAAUCUGCCCUUGGGUUCGGAAUAACAGUUAGAAAUGACUGCUAAUACCGGAUAAUGUCUUCGGACCAAAGAUUUAUCGCCCAGGGAUGAGCCCGCGUAGGAUUAGCUAGUUGGUGAGGUAAAGGCUCACCAAGGCGACGAUCCUUAGCUGGUCUGAGAGGAUGAUCAGCCACACUGGGACUGAGACACGGCCCAGACUCCUACGGGAGGCAGCAGUGGGGAAUAUUGGACAAUGGGCGAAAGCCUGAUCCAGCAAUGCCGCGUGAGUGAUGAAGGCCUUAGGGUUGUAAAGCUCUUUUACCGGGAUGAUAAUGACAGUACCGGGAGAAUAAGCCCCGGCUAACUCCGUGCCAGCAGCC